UCAGCAUGACGAGCCGCCGCUUUAGCUCC
This 29-nucleotide non-coding RNA is filed under the name Bombyx mori (domestic silkworm). The record is from RNAcentral. Lineage: Eukaryota; Metazoa; Arthropoda; Insecta; Lepidoptera; Bombycidae.